This 474-nucleotide long non-coding RNA is filed under the name Homo sapiens (human). RNAcentral describes it as "non-protein coding lnc-RBAK-RBAKDN-2:25". Lineage: Eukaryota; Metazoa; Chordata; Mammalia; Primates; Hominidae. The record is from RNAcentral.
AGUUGCCUAAAAUAAGACUUUUUUGACUAUUCUAAAUUGACUCCUCUUGACCAGCACUGCUUCAUCCAAGCUGCUGACCUCCUCAUGGCCGACUUCAAAGUGCUCAGUAGUCAGGACAUCAUGUGGGCCCUGCACGAGCUCAAAGGACACUAUGCAAUCACCCGAAAGGCCUUUUCUGAUGCCAUUAAAAAAUGGCAGGAGCUAUCACCAGAAACCAGUGGAAAAAGGAAAAAGAGAAAAGAAAUGAACCAGUAUUCUUAAAUUGAUUUCAAGUUUGAACAAGGUAAUGCAAACUAUGUUGGUGGCAGUGUGUAGCUGCAACACCGUACCUUCUUCACAGUCAGUGAAGGAAGCUGUGCUACAGGUGUCUGCUGAGCAUCUGGACAGGAACUAUUUUCUCAGCACGUCAAAAUUUUUAGAAAGUGGCUGCCCUUGUUGGCUUCCUUCUUCCUACUUAAGAUAAACUGUGAGAGG